Long non-coding RNA from Helianthus annuus (common sunflower), 1013 nucleotides. RefSeq lists it as uncharacterized. The transcript is spliced from 3 exons. The record is from RefSeq and is a predicted model, not a curated record. Lineage: Eukaryota; Viridiplantae; Streptophyta; Magnoliopsida; Asterales; Asteraceae.
UUCAUUUCCCUCCUAAUCUUCACCCCAUUUCCCCAACUCUUGCUGCCAAGGUCUUGCAACCCCUCUGACCAAUCCCCACCUCUUGCCGCCGUCACCACCACUUCCACACCUCUGCUGCCGUCACCGUCACCACUUACCCACUAACAUCCAAAAUUGGAUAAUACUAGGAAGUGUGACACAUUAUUUGGUGACUCAUGCACCUUGUCCAGUUACCAUUGUCAAAGAGAAGCCUUGAUCUACUUAGGUAUGUGUUAUGCCAAUUAUAUCAUUUAAGUUUAUAAUUGUUGGUCCCAAGCCCGGAUAAAGGAGAAGCGUUUUGUUACUAAAUUUGUUGAAAAUGAUAAUUUUGCAAAAGGGCCACCACUUUGUAGUUCGAUUAGGGCCUCCGAAAACGUAGGAACGGCACUGAUGAAGCUACACGUUUAUGUAGCUCAUAUGAGGUAUAUAUUUAAUUUACUAGCUACAUAUGAGGUAUAUAUAGCUCAUAUGAGGUAUAUAUUUAAUUUACUAGCUACAUAUGAGCAAACUACACAUAUGUUUUAAUCGGGUUAUUCGGGUUACCCAAAUACGUACCAAUCUCAUUCCAAUCUCAUUCCUUUAUGAACUUUGGUUCAAAUAACUUUGGGUACGACCUUUCAAAAAAAAAAAAAAAAAAAUAAAUAAAUAACUUCGGGUACGGGUUAGGUGACAUAUGAGCUCACCUUUUGAUUGAAAAUUUAAUGUGACAUAUGAGCUCACCUUGAAUCCGAUCUUGGACGUUGUAAUGUAUAAGGGUGGAGGGUAUAGUCAAACACCUUUGGGUGUUUGAGUGAAAUCCUAGCCAAUAAUAUUAUGCCAUGUCAACUCCCCAUUCUACUCCACAUUUUACACUCAAUCAGAGGGUAUAGUCAAAUAGGGCCGCUCAAACCGCUCGGCGCUCGUCGCUCGCUCGACGCUCGUUCGAAAAUUGCUCGGAAAAUGCUCGUUCGAUUUGACGCUCGGUUGUAAAUGAGCCGCUCUGCUCGGUUCGGUUU